UGGGGAAUAUUGGACAAUGGGCGCAAGCCUGAUCCAGCCAUGCCGCGUGAGUGAUGAAGGCCCUAGGGUUGUAAAGCUCUUUCACCGGUGAAGAUAAUGACGGUAACCGGAGAAGAAGCCCCGGCUAACUUCGUGCCAGCAGCCGCGGUAAUACGAAGGGGGCUAGCGUUGUUCGGAUUUACUGGGCGUAAAGCGCACGUAGGCGGACUAUUAAGUCAGGGGUGAAAUCCCGGGGCUCAACCCCGGAACUGCCUUUGAUACUGGUAGUCUUGAGUUCGAGAGAGGUGAGUGCAAUUCCGAGUGUAGAGGUGAAAUUCGGAGAUAUUCGGAGGAACACCAUUGGCGAAGGCGGCUCACUGGCUCGAUACUGACGCUGAGGUGCGAAAGCGUGGGGAGCAAACAGG
RNAcentral lists this ribosomal RNA (404 nucleotides) under Actinomycetes bacterium. RNAcentral describes it as "Actinobacteria bacterium partial 16S ribosomal RNA". It matches the Rfam family "Bacterial small subunit ribosomal RNA", at positions 355 to 776 of the family's 1533-position model. Lineage: Bacteria; Bacillati; Actinomycetota; Actinomycetes. The record is from RNAcentral.